Phyllopteryx taeniolatus (common seadragon) is the source of this 2934-nucleotide RNA transcript. It is a transcript of the gene named 6-phosphofructo-2-kinase/fructose-2,6-biphosphatase 4b, with no coding region annotated. The transcript has 15 exons. Lineage: Eukaryota; Metazoa; Chordata; Actinopteri; Syngnathiformes; Syngnathidae. The record is from RefSeq and is a predicted model, not a curated record.
CGCCGAGGCGACCUUUGAGUAAGUUACUUCUAGUCAGCAGCAGCAGCAUCGUCGUGCAGGAUGUUAGACAACGAGGAGUAUCUGGUGGACGCCUGCCCGCGGGAGCUCACUCGGAACCCGCUGAGGAAGAUCUGGUUACCGGGCAAGAGCGGCCACAUAGCGCAGAGACGCGUAUGUAUGACCAACUGCCCAACCCUCAUUGUGACGGUCGGCCUUCCGGCACGAGGGAAGACCUACAUCUCCAAGAAGCUAACGCGCUACUUAAACUGGAUCGGCGUGCCCACCAAAGAGUUCAACGUGGGCCAGUACCGCAGGGAGUGUGUGAAGAUCUACAAAUCAUUUGAGUUUUUCAGUCCGGAUAAUGAAGAGGGUUUAAAAAUCAGACGUCACUGUGCAAUGGCAGCUCUUAAUGACGUCCGCCAGUACCUGAGCGUGGAAGGAGGACAAGUGGCCGUUUUUGAUGCCACCAAUACGACGAGAGAAAGACGGGGGGCCAUUGUCAAGUUUGCUGAGCAAAAUGGGUUCAAGGUGUUCUUUGUGGAGUCUGUGUGUGAAGACCCAGACGUCAUCGCGCAAAACAUCGUGCAAGUGAAGCUCGGCAACCCAGACUACAUCCACUGUGACACUCAGGAGGCCAUCGAAGACUUCAUGAAGAGGAUCAAAUGUUACGAGUCAUCCUACCAGCCUCUGGAUGAGGUUCUGGACAGGGAAAUGCCCUACAUCAAGAUCAUGGACGUGGGCCGCCGUUACCUGGUGAACCGGGUACAGGACCACAUUCAGAGCCGGAUCGUGUACUACCUGAUGAACAUCCACAUCACACCGCGCUCCAUCUACCUGAGUCGGCACGGCGAGAGCGACCUCAACAUCAAGGGACGCAUUGGAGGCGACUCGGCCUUGUCGGCGCGGGGCAAAGAGUAUGCCAAAUCUCUGAAGAAGUACAUCCAGGAGCAGAACAUCAAGGAUCUGAAGGUGUGGACCAGCCAGAUGAAGAGAACCAUCCAGACAGCCGAGUGUCUGGGAGUGCCGUACGAACAGUGGAAAUCUCUCAACGAGAUCGACGCUGGCGUGUGCGAGGAAAUGAUGUAUGAAGAGAUCCAAGAGCAUUACCCUCUGGAAUUUGCACUGAGAGACCAGGACAAAUAUCGCUACCGCUAUCCUAAAGGAGAGUCAUAUGAAGACCUGGUGCAGCGUCUGGAGCCUGUCAUCAUGGAGCUGGAGAGGCAGGAGAAUGUUCUGGUCAUUUGUCACCAGGCCGUCAUGCGCUGUCUUCUCGCUUACUUCCUAGACAAGACCGCAGUCGUAGCGACACCCCUGACUUGGAGGAGAACUGCAGCGGACUUUCGAAACAGCGCGCGUGGGUUGCGCUCAAGUAUAAAGACAAACUACGCGUGGGACAGCCGCAGUGACGUCAGCGCGGUCGCCGUCCGCUCGAGUUGCCUUAUCUUAAAUGCCCCUUGCACACAGUGUUGAAACUGACCCCAUUGGCUUACGGAUGCAAAGUGGAGUCCAUCUAUUUAGGCGUGGAUGCCGUCAAUACACACCGAGAGCGACCGGAGAAUGUGAGCGUGCAGCGUAGCACAGAAGCUGCUCUGAAAACCGUGCCGGCGCACUUCUGACACCCUCGCUCACGCUUCCUGGGUGACCCCCUCACCUGCCUCUCGACGACGCUCAUCGUCAGCGAUAUGAAGAUGUUUGAGAGGAGCAUCCCGUUUUAUACUCCGACUCGAUGGGGGAAACUUUCCGAAUGGACAGCGUGUGUGUUUUUGUUACACUGUUGUAGACAACACAUCCUCCCGCACUGUCAGAAGCGCUCACUUAAUGUGUUGCUAUUUUAUAAAGCUGGUGUGAGCGCGCAAGAACUCUGCAAUUACUGUUACUUAUAUUUUUUUAAAUAUGGGCUUCAGUGAUUAGAAAUCCAGUUGAUUACCAUAUUUUUGCAAAUAGUGGCCAGGAGGGUGUUUAUUUAGAUUACGAAUUAUGUCACGUGCCAAAACACAUGUAAACAGACAAGGAUGCACACAUUGUCAGAAGAGUGAUUUAAAUCUCAACUCCACAUAACACAGGAUUGUCUUAAAUAUGGACACCACAUUUUAAUUCAUCUGCAAGAUGAUGACGUAGGUCCUGCUCUUUGUUAGCAAAAGCGUUCAAAUAGGUUCAGCAGUUAACUAUUGUAUGUGAACAAUCAGUCUAUUACAAAUGGACUACAAAGUUAAAUACAGUACAACUGAACUGUACUUGGGUAGUAAUACUUUUACGUACCACUAGAGCACCCGCACACUGCCAGUGGUAUUGGUAUCAAACUGAGAAUCGCUGCAUCAGAGUGACAGCCACUAUUUGGGGAAAUAUGCUAAUAUGUCAUAAGCUGUGUAAAUCAUCAUAUGCAUGUUCUGUAUGAUACCAGAAGCAGUGGUGACGGAGUCACUCUGGUGCUUUUUUGGGUCUACUUUUCCAAGAGCCUUUUGAACAUGUAGGAUCUUUGCAAAAUUGUUCCAGAUGUGGACAUGAAUUGAAGUGAUACAUCUGAAAACACACAAAAUCGUCUUUGGGGUAACAUUAACAUUUAAAUGUGGUAGACUGUAACAGGUAUAGCAAACAGAAAUGCCACAGAUUUUAGCAAUGGGCAUCAUGGGGGGAAAUAUUUUGGUGUCGCAAAGUAGUGGACUCUGUUUUGUUGACAAUCAACUAUCAAUUCCACACGAUCGACCAGCUCUUAGCUAUCAAUAAUGCCCAUCCCCAACAUUCACACUCCAAUACUUAUUUACACGAAGAUUUGUGCCUGAAAACACAAAUCUUUACAUUUGUCAAAUGAUUUUAAUAAAGUACGUUUGUGUUCUAUUAUAUAUUGGUUUGUGUACACGACAGUUGUGAAAAGUGUACUUGCCUUGCUGCUCCUUUCCAGUUUUACAAAUGUCAAUAAAGUUUCUUUACUUGGUA